This is a long non-coding RNA of Oreochromis aureus, 323 nucleotides long. RefSeq lists it as uncharacterized. The transcript has 4 exons. The record is from RefSeq and is a predicted model, not a curated record. NCBI's taxonomy places the organism in Eukaryota, Metazoa, Chordata, Actinopteri, Cichliformes, Cichlidae.
UCCCUCCCUCUAAAAGCACUCUGUGUGGGGAACAUGAGAGCCAGACCAAAGCUCAGAGGAACCAGCCUGGACCUCCACCCAGCUCUGUGUCCUUACAGAGUGAUGGGUCUAAAGAGGACCUCAUUAAUUUUAAAGUCUUUGCUGAAGAGAGGAUCUAUGGGGGACCUGCUGAACCUGAACCCAGCUGUGUGUCCUUAAAGAGUGAUCACUCUAAACAACGCCUCAUUAAUUUUAAAGUCCAGCCUGUGUCUGCUGCAGAGAGAGUGGACCAGCAGAGCUCAGAGGUUCCCAGUGGUCAGUCUGCCCAGCAGCAUCAAACACAG